GUUUUCCGUCAGAAGGCCGCGCAAGUGCACUUGCGUGUCUCCGUUACCGUAGCGACUGGGCUUCUGGACUGCAUAUCCUAGCUGCCUUGUCAACAUCUUCGAGCAUCGGCAGCUCCGGAGGCCGGGGUAACUGGCAGGUAGGAAACUAUGUGAAAGAAUCUCCUGAUGUCAUAAUUUCUGGGUGUCACUGGAACAUUUGAUCAUCAUUCCUUUGGCAAUUCCAGCCUUCUGUGGAAAGGCCAGUAGAAAGCAUUGAUUUAUUCACCUCUACAGGAAUCAGACUCAGCCUCUUUUGGUUUUCAGUGAAGUAUGCCUUUUCGAUUUGGAACCCAGCCAAGGAGGUUUCCAGUGGAAGGAGGAGAUUCUUCAAUUGAGCUGGAACCCGGGCUGAGCUCCAGUGCUGCCUGUAAUGGGAAGGAGAUGUCACCAACCAGGUACUCCCCAUUGACACUGUGGCCGUGGACCAGGGUUCCGGAACUGCUUCUGGGACGGACUUCAAAUGCAAUUUCAAACUUCAAUCCAAUAUUGAAAGAUUCAUCUGUGGAGAGAAACACUAUAAACUCCCAAGAACAGCAAGAUCGUAUUUGUAACUAUGGUAGCUUCAGUAGGAGGAAGACUUUCUUCUAGGACUCGAAGACCAUCAAUUACCAGUCGGCCACUGCUCCUUUCUCGAAUAAAUAUCACCUGGAUGAAGAGAAGGACAAUAGCACAUCUCAGAUUUGGAAAUCUCUGUCUACGUGUAUGAAAGGAGGGAAGCAGCUAUAAAUUAGAAGGGAGAUAGGAAAGUGAAGAUAUUUACUAGACUCUGCCUUUGCUUGCAGUUCUCUGGCUUGAUUGAGGAGGUUCUCACUUUCAUCUUUAUGGGACUUUGGCUAAAAAAAAUAAACUGUCAAAGGAACUGGCAUUUGCUGACUGGACUACAGCACAUCUCGAAGAAUCUGCAGACCGAAACCUUCAAGGCACUCAUGAAAUGGUCUUUCUUUAGUUCCCCUGCCCUUUCCACUCUUUCUGCCAUUUGGAUUUCACACUGGAAGUUCAAGAGAUGACAUCAGAAAACAGAAAAGCCAGUGGGAAAGGCAAGGAGAUUUGGAAGAGUGUUUGAAAAUUUUGGCAAUCAAGAAUAAGAAGGUGUUGAAAUCAAAUAGUUCCUGCUGGGCACUGUGGAGUAUUUAUCAGAAGUCAGUUAUAUUGCCAAUUCCCGACCAGCUUUACUUAAGACACUUGGGUGUGGAAAGAUAAUGCUGUCUAUGAAAUAAAUAGGUCGGUAAAUUUCAGUGCAGGACCACAUAAGUCUAAAAUACUACCUACAAUUUUGCUUAAAGAUCGUGCAACUGUGUAGACGGAUGUUCCUGCAAACCAAUAGGAGAUAGUACAGCACGUUUGUAUGCUGAUGGUAAUGAUUAAGUAAAGAAUGAGAACGGGAUGAUUCAGAAGAAAGGGCAUAACUUGAGGAGUGAAACCCUGCAACCUGUUUUCAAGAAAGCAGGAAGCCAAGUCACCAGGCAGAACUGAUAGCAUGGGAAGUGGGUUCCCACCAGUCGCAUGCAGCUGCUCUGGUAUGGCCAUGGUGCUGGGGAUGAGUCAGAAAUCUCAGUCCCUGCAGUCUUUCCUGACUUGGAGAAAAGGAAGAAUGGAACCCAUCUUCUCCAGAUUUGUUGUUAUGGGGUAGGUGUAGGUCUAGAGACAGAAAAGAAUCACAUUUGAACAUCCUCUCAAUGCAAGAACAUUUUUAAAGAAUCAAUUUCCCCUGAAUAUCCAUCAAGCCUAAUACAGUGUGACUAUCUGAGAUCAAUUAUUCUUAUCUUUACAAAGACUGGGAGUUAUACAGCAAAAGCAAUACUGUAAAAUAUUGUAUUAAAGUAUGUAAAAGAAGGGAGUUGAAAAAA
Molecule: RNA transcript, 1886 nt
Organism: Gorilla gorilla gorilla (western lowland gorilla)
Lineage: Eukaryota; Metazoa; Chordata; Mammalia; Primates; Hominidae
Gene: FAM229B
Gene name: family with sequence similarity 229 member B
Exons: 14
Source: RefSeq, a predicted model, not a curated record